UUCCGUAGGUGAACCUGCGGAAGGAUCAUUGUCGAACCUGCACAGCAGAACGACCAGAUAACCGAUUUCAACGUCGGGGGUCGGCAGGCCGUUGCUCUCGGUGUCCCCUUAUCCCGGAAGCCUACUUCAGGGCGUACAAACAAACACCGACGCGUGUUGCGCCAAGAAACUUAAACAAAAGAGCGUGCUCCCGUCACCCUGAAAAUGAUGCUCGUACGGGUGCGUCGUCGUCUUCAGUACAUCAAAAUGACUCUCGGUAACGGAUAUCUCAGCUCUCGCAUCGAUGAAGAAUGUAGCGAAAUGCGAUACUGGGUGUGAAUUGCAGAAUCCCAUGAACCAUCGAGUCUUUGAACGUAAGUUACGCCCGAAGUUGUUAGGCCGAUGGCACGUCUGGCUGGGCGUCACACGCCGUUGCCUCCCCCGCGCCUUCCUCAGAUGGGGCGGACGAUGGCCUCCCGUGCGUCACGCCUUGCGGUUGGGCCAAAUACCGAGUCCUCGACGACGAACGCCAUGACAAUCGAUGGUUGUCAAACCUUGUUUGCUUGUUAUGCGCUUUCGUCGGUUUCGAGCUACUCGCGAAGCUCGUCGCUCUCAUUCAGCGGAGCUUUCAACGCGACCCCAGGUCAGGCGAGAUUACCCGCUGAGUUUAACAUAUCAAUAAGCGGAGGAAA
This 671-nucleotide ribosomal RNA is filed under the name Eriobotrya seguinii. RNAcentral's name for it is "eukaryotic LSU rRNA". The stretch from base 249 to 404 matches the Rfam family "5.8S ribosomal RNA". The record is from RNAcentral. Lineage: Eukaryota; Viridiplantae; Streptophyta; Magnoliopsida; Rosales; Rosaceae.